This 73-nucleotide transfer RNA is filed under the name Dreissena polymorpha. It matches the Rfam family "tRNA". Rfam says of the family: Transfer RNA (tRNA) molecules are approximately 80 nucleotides in length. Their secondary structure includes four short double-helical elements and three loops (D, anti-codon, and T loops). Lineage: Eukaryota; Metazoa; Mollusca; Bivalvia; Myida; Dreissenidae. The record is from Rfam by way of RNAcentral.
ACCCGGUUAGCUAACUCGGUUAAGCAAUCGUCCUGAAAGCGGGAUUUCCCGGGUUCGAGUCCCGGACUGGCUG